AAAAAACACAUAAAUCUCAUUAUGAUACCUCAUAAUAUUCAAUUAUCAACCCUGUGAAACAUAUAUGAACAAAAGUUAUGUAUUUAAUCCGAUGAAUGUUAUGGGAUUUGCAGAUGUGAAAAUUUAGCCACUGUUCCAUAGCGGAAUCCUCGUGAUGGCUAGUUUGACUCUUAAAUCAUCGGUGUAUUUGGAAAUAAAUUAUAGUUUGAAGACGUGAAUCAUAAAACUUUGUAUAGGAUAGUAAAAGAAUACAUAAACUUCAUUGCAAGCUGAAGUCAAUGGAACAAGAUCGGAAGGACCAUCCAGAAGACUACCCAGAAGAAUUAAUUUUUCAUAUCUAAAUUAAUCGGUUAUCCAAUGUAAUUAAUGCAUCGUUUAUUCACACAAAUGCCGAUAAUGUAUCAAUAAAGUAUUUUUUUUAAAUUAUGA
Molecule: long non-coding RNA, 429 nt
Organism: Aedes aegypti (yellow fever mosquito)
Lineage: Eukaryota; Metazoa; Arthropoda; Insecta; Diptera; Culicidae
Exons: 2
Source: RefSeq, a predicted model, not a curated record